GGGCGAUUAGCUCAGUUGGCUAGAGCGCUACGCUUACAACGUAGAUGUCGGGGGUUCGAGUCCUCCAUCGCCCA
This 74-nucleotide transfer RNA is filed under the name Planctomycetota bacterium. RNAcentral's name for it is "Planctomycetes bacterium tRNA-Val". It matches the Rfam family "tRNA". Rfam says of the family: Transfer RNA (tRNA) molecules are approximately 80 nucleotides in length. Their secondary structure includes four short double-helical elements and three loops (D, anti-codon, and T loops). Lineage: Bacteria; Pseudomonadati; Planctomycetota. The record is from RNAcentral.